ACGAACGCUGGCGGCGUGCUUAACCCAUGCAAGUCGAACGGAAAGGCCCUGCUUUUGUGGGGUGCUCGAGUGGCGAACGGGUGAGUAACACGUGAGUAACCUGCCCUUGACUUUGGGAUAACUUCAGGAAACUGGGGCUAAUACCGGAUAGGAGCUCCUGCUGCAUGGUGGGGGUUGGAAAGUUUCGGCGGUUGGGGAUGGACUCGCGGCUUAUCAGCUUGUUGGUGGGGUAGUGGCUUACCAAGGCUUUGACGGGUAGCCGGCCUGAGAGGGUGACCGGCCACCUUGGGCCUGAGAUACGGCCCAGACUCCUACGGGAGGCAGCAGUGGGGAAUAUUGCACAAUGGGCGGAAGCCUGAUGCAGCAACGCCGCGUGCGGGAUGACGGCCUUCGGGUUGUAAACCGCUUUCGCCUGUGACGAAGCGUGAGUGACGGUAAUGGGUAAAGAAGCACCGGCUAACUACGUG
RNAcentral lists this ribosomal RNA (467 nucleotides) under uncultured bacterium. RNAcentral's name for it is "partial 16S ribosomal RNA". It matches the Rfam family "Bacterial small subunit ribosomal RNA", at positions 29 to 507 of the family's 1533-position model. The record is from RNAcentral.